GAUGGCUGUCGUCGGCUCGUGCCGUGAGGUGUAUGGUUAAGUCCUGCAACGAGCGCAACCCUCGUCGCUAGUUGAUUUCUCUAGCGAGACUGCCCCGCAAACGGGAGGAAGGUGGGGAUGACGUCAAGUCAGCAUGGCCUUUAUAUCUUGGGCUACACACACGCUACAAUGGAUGGCACAAUAGGUUGCAACAGCGCGAGCUGAAGCUAAUCCCCAAAGCCAUCCUCAGUACAGAUUGCAGGCUGAAACCCGCCUGCAUGAAGUCGGAGUUGCUAGUAACCGCAAAUCAGCAUGUUGCGGUGAAUACGUUCUCGGGCCUU
RNAcentral lists this ribosomal RNA (320 nucleotides) under uncultured Chloroflexota bacterium. Its description in RNAcentral is "bacterial SSU rRNA". It matches the Rfam family "Bacterial small subunit ribosomal RNA", at positions 1044 to 1382 of the family's 1533-position model. The record is from RNAcentral. Lineage: Bacteria; Bacillati; Chloroflexota.